RNAcentral lists this ribosomal RNA (432 nucleotides) under uncultured bacterium. Its description in RNAcentral is "partial 16S ribosomal RNA". It matches the Rfam family "Bacterial small subunit ribosomal RNA", at positions 29 to 506 of the family's 1533-position model. The record is from RNAcentral.
AGCGAACGCUGGCGGCAUGCCUAACACAUGCAAGUCGAACGAGACCUUCGGGUCUAGUGGCGCACGGGUGCGUAACGCGUGGGAACCUGCCCUUAGGUUCGGAAUAACUCCCCGAAAGGGGUGCUAAUACCGGAUAAUGUCUUCGGACCAAAGAUUUAUCGCCUUUGGAUGGGCCCGCGUUGGAUUAGCUAGUUGGUAGGGUAAAAGCCUACCAAGGCGACGAUCCAUAGCUGGUCUGAGAGGAUGAUCAGCCACACUGGGACUGAGACACGGCCCAGACUCCUACGGGAGGCAGCAGUGGGGAAUAUUGGACAAUGGGCGAAAGCCUGAUCCAGCAAGGCCGCGUGAGUGAUGAAGGCCUUAGGGUUGUAAAGCUCUUUUACCCGGGAUGAUAAUGACAGUACCGGGAGAAUAAACUCCGGCUAACUCCGU